ACAAAAUGCAUGAGAAUAUAUGGAAUGAUAAAGUGCAAAAUCCAUUAUUGUGGAAGGAGUCUAUGAAUAUGAUGCUACUUUGUUUCCAGAAAAUCAGAUUCCAAAGUGGUUCAGUCAUGUUCAUGAGUUUUUAAAAGAUAAUGAUGAUGGCAGACUGAGG
This is a long non-coding RNA of Juglans regia (Persian walnut), 160 nucleotides long. RefSeq lists it as uncharacterized. Lineage: Eukaryota; Viridiplantae; Streptophyta; Magnoliopsida; Fagales; Juglandaceae. The transcript has 2 exons. The record is from RefSeq and is a predicted model, not a curated record.